Molecule: transfer RNA, 62 nt
Filed under: Phymata americana
Lineage: Eukaryota; Metazoa; Arthropoda; Insecta; Hemiptera; Phymatidae
Description: tRNA-Ala
Source: RNAcentral
AGGGUUGUAGUUAAUAUAUAACAUUUAAUUUGCAAUUAAAAAUAGCUUUUAAGCCUUCCUUA